AUUGAACGCUGGCGGCAGGCUUAACACAUGCAAGUCGAGCGGGCGAGGUUGCCUCGGUAACUGAGCUAGCGGCGGACGGGUGAGUAAAGCUUAGGAAUCUGCCUAUUAGUGGGGGACAACAUUCCGAAAGGGAUGCUAAUACCGCAUACGUCCUACGGGAGAAAGCAGGGGAUCACUUGUGACCUUGCGCUAAUAGAUGAGCCUAAGUCGGAUUAGCUAGUUGGUGGGGUAAAGGCCUACCAAGGCGACGAUCUGUAGCGGGUCUGAGAGGAGGAUCCGCCACACUGGGACUGAGACACGGCCCAGACUCCUACGGGAGGUAGCAGUGGGGAAUAUUGGACAAUGGGGGGAACCCUGAUCCAGCCAUGCCGCGUGUGUGAAGAAGGCCUUUUGGUUGUAAAGCACUUUAAGCGAGGAGGAGGCUUACCUGGUUAAUACCCGGGAUAAGUGGACGUUACUCGCAGAAUAAGCACCGGCUAACUCUGUGCCAGCAGCCGCCGUAA
RNAcentral lists this ribosomal RNA (503 nucleotides) under uncultured bacterium. RNAcentral describes it as "partial 16S ribosomal RNA". It matches the Rfam family "Bacterial small subunit ribosomal RNA", at positions 30 to 523 of the family's 1533-position model. The record is from RNAcentral.